UUCGGUGAAACAAACGAGCU
Molecule: non-coding RNA, 20 nt
Filed under: Arabidopsis thaliana (thale cress)
Lineage: Eukaryota; Viridiplantae; Streptophyta; Magnoliopsida; Brassicales; Brassicaceae
Source: RNAcentral